RNAcentral lists this long non-coding RNA (2229 nucleotides) under Gallus gallus (chicken). The record is from RNAcentral. Lineage: Eukaryota; Metazoa; Chordata; Aves; Galliformes; Phasianidae.
CAAUACCUGGUGGAGGACAGAGCAAAAAAAUUAUACUGAAAAGGAAGAAAAAGAAACUUUUUAAGCAGAAAGUCCAUCUGAAAGUAGAAGUCUUCAUCAACUCGUGCUUCAUGCAGUUAUUGCAAAAUGGAGAUGAAGUCUCUCACACAUACGCUCAGGAAAGGCAAAAUAUGAAGGUUCUUUGAAGAUUUAUAUGCAUUUUGCCAGAAGAGGUUUGUCUAACUGGGAAUUGCAGACUUGGCUGACAACAAAUAACUACUCCGAAGGCCCUUCUACAGAUUUCAAGUAUCAUUUUCUGGAAAAUAUGAUAGAGACAACAGAAACUUCAUUGAUUUAACCAUCAUUUCUAAUGAAUGUAUGAAUACUGUGCAGAAGUCACAAAUGACUUUUCAACUGUUUUUCAACUGAUUGGACUCGAUGAUCUCUUGAGGUCCUUUCCAACUUCUGCAGUGAUUCUGUGAUUCUGUGACAUAUACUAUGUAGUACCUUUGAGUGGCAGGAUUUGAAGAAUUAUCAUUCAGAGUCUUAAAAUCAUGAAACCAUGCUGAAAAUAAAAAUUGCCUUUUAGCUUGCUUUUCAUCUUCCAGGGUUUGUAUUUCUACUGCUGAGAGGGUAGAAACCAUCACAACCAACAGCAUAAAGGAGCAAACUGCAAAUUCAUUUGUAUAACUCUAUAAACACCUCAUACUUAAUUGUAACAAUUUUCAGCAAAAAUAAUAUUGUGCAUAUAGAUUAAAUUUUGCAACUUCUUAUUUUGUUUUGUAAUAAUUUUUCUUUAAACAUCUAGAGAUCACUUCUUCCACCCCUUCUCCUCAGCUCAGAUAAGCAGUUCUCUCAUGCUUCCUGCCACCUCCUUGUGCUGCGUGAGCCCCUCCUCUUAUUUCUACUUAAUCUAUCAAGAUGUAUUUGGCAUAUUGUUGGACUGAUGUUCUAUGCAUUUUCACUGGGGAGAGGAAUAAGAAAGGAAGUAGAUGAAAAGCAGCUGAAAAACACUUUGUCUUAGAAUAAAUGAAUAGACUUUUUCAAACUAUUCUCACAAACACACGCUCCACAUUUUCUUUGGUCUGACAAUAGCCAUUGGAAAUUGCAUCCAAAUGGUAUUCUUUUAUUUGAAAUUCUAAGCCUCUGAAAAUGGGUUUUUACCACACUGUUGCUCAGUCAUACCUCUUUCUUCUAAAAGAUUUGAAAUUUAAGUUGAAAUUGUUUGAUAGCUUUGCCGUAUAUGCUGUCUGAAUAAAACAUACUUAAUUCCUUGUGCACACUGGAUGGCUAGGUAAGCUGUACAUUAUCUGUUUGGUCCCUUCAGAAUUACUUUGCUUUUGCAGCUCAAAGUGACUGGCAGCAACACGAGAGGCAAGUGUUCUAGAAGAGCAGAGGCUGCAUUUAUAAAUUGCUGAUAACUGCAUCAGUAGGAAAAGGAAAGCCUCCCAGUGAAGCAAUAAGUGCUUUAAAAGAUGCAGGUAUUUCCAAAGCUUGGAUACUGAAGACAGAAAAUAGGUGAUAUGGAAAAUGUUUCAGUGGACUGAAUGACUCCACAAAUAUUUAAAUUCUUUGUAUACUGGAGACCUGUUAUAAGCAGUAACUUAGGUUUAAUUUCUGUCUGUGUUUUAAAAUACCUUCUUUAAUGUCAUUCUGCUUCAGGAAAUUAAUUCAGAAAAAAAAAAGAGUAAAUAAAGCACCUGCUUCUAUCUGGAUUUCAACAAUUUCAUGCAUAAUUCUUUGGAAAUCACUUAAGUAAAAUCUGUCACAAAAUAUUACUUUUGUCUUGCUAUUUGCUUGAAGGACGCUAAUCAUUGUUUAUGUGCUCAAAUUAAGAAACUAUCUUUUUAUACUAACUUUAGAGAUAGACAAAAUUUUUAAUACAGAAAGAGAAAUGUGCUUCUAAUUGUUGAUUUAAGUCUGCAUUGCUUUGUGUAAAAUUCUUGUUUAGCAUCUCAGACUGUUGCCUUUAAGAUAUUCUGUAACUGAUCUCACUUUUGUGUAUUUUAUUAGACAGAAGAGGGUUCUGAAAAAUGAAGUUUUGAAUAUAAAUGUAAAUGAUAAUCUGAAUUAGAUUCAAUCCAAAUAAAUCUGAAUAUGAAUCUAUAAUCCAAAUAAAUUGAAUAUGAAUCAAUUAUUUUGAAGGAAGUUUGAUCAAUUAAAGAUUUAGGCAGAAAAAAAUUCACCUGAAUCCAUAUUCAUCUGACAACCAAGACUAUCAGAUACGAUACUAGAAUUAAUAAUGUUGCC